CACCUCACACACACACACACACACACACAGUCACAGAGCAGACACACACACACACUGAUGAAGAACUGACCAACAUCUGAAACAGGAAGGACAGCAGACCUCCAGGAACAAACUCUGCAGAGAAAAGUUUUACAGUCUAUCCAGUAAAACACACCAAAACAGCAAGACGCUUCCUGUUCCUUUAUUGGAGACUGUUCACUAUCUGUAAAGCUAGUUCACACACACUAGUACAGGCAGAAUAGUAAAAAGACAUGAUGGAAGACCAACCAAAAGUCGAAAAAGAUGACAACACUGCUGUCCCUGACCACCAAAGUACAGUCAGCAAUGCUGGUGACCUGUGGGAAACAAGAUCGAACUGUUCCAACAGCUCACGUGCCAGUCAGCGGUCCUGUGCCAGUCAACGGUCCAAUGCAAGCGUUUUGGCUGCAAAAGCACGUGCUAAAGCAGCAGCCGCACAAGUGCAAGUAUCAUACGCUGAAAGAGAAGCAGAGGUGAUAAAGGAACAAGCCCACAUUGAAGCUGAAGCUACAAAAAAGAAAGCAGAGCUCAGCGCUGACCUCCUCAAACUGCAUCUACAAAGUGCAGCUGCAGCCGCCAACGCCGAAGCAGAGGUCCUAGAGGCAGCAGCCGAGGAUGAAGGUGGAGAUACCUGGUUUCCAACAAAUAGCAACAACGUCGUCCAGAACAGCUCAUCAUCUCGUGACGUGGAGAUGGAUCAGGACACGGUGAAGGAACAACAUGAGAUCCAGACUGAAGAUCAGAGGACCAGGAAGCAGCUCACACCUGGACCUGGACCUGGACCCAGCUGUGUGUCCUGUAGAAGUGACCAGUCCAUGGACAAACCCAUUAACUUCAAAGGAGGUCCAUCUACUGACCCACAGUGAGUCCACAUAAAGAAGGUUGCUGGUUGUCUUCCUGAUGGUCCAGGGGCCUCAUUUAUUGAUCCGUUCAUAGAACUGGUUCUAAAUACGUUCAGACCAAUGAAAUGUAGAAUGUGCACCAGUACAAAAAGAAUCAGUAUUUAUGAAGCGUGUGGACAGAGGUCGUACACACAGCAGUGUUGAUUCAUCUCUCAGUCCAUGUGGACUAAAGUGUCAAUCACUUUUCUUUGUUUUCACACUAAAUACACUCACCAACUAUUUCCUCAGUCACUAGUUAUUAUUAUUAUUAAUUAUACAUUAUUAUAAUUAGUUCACCACCUGAUAAACACUAAACUUUUACAGAACAUUUUUCAAACACUAACACACUUUAGGACCAAUGCUUGUU
This 1266-nucleotide long non-coding RNA is filed under the name Gouania willdenowi (blunt-snouted clingfish). Its description in RNAcentral is "lncRNA (ENSGWIG00000017649.1)". Lineage: Eukaryota; Metazoa; Chordata; Actinopteri; Blenniiformes; Gobiesocidae. The record is from RNAcentral.